AUACAAGUAGUAGGGAAGGAAACUGGACCGACCCUUCGGGGAGCUUGUACAGGUGCUGCAUGGCUGUCGUCAGCUCGUGUCGUGAGAUGUUCGGUUAAGUCCGCUAACGAGCGCAACCCUCGCUGUGUGUUACAAGUGUCACACGGAACUGCCGGUCAUAAACCGGAGGAAGGUGGGGAUGACGUCAAGUCAGCAUGGCCUUUAUAUCCUGGGCUACACACACGCUACAAUGGGAAGGGACAAUAGGUUGCGAAGCCGCGAGGCGGAGCCAAUCCAGCAAAACUUCCCUCAGUUCAGAUUGCAGGCUGCAACCCGCCUGCAUGAAGUUGGAGUUGCUAGUAAACGCAGGUCAGCCAUACUGCGUUGAAUACGUUCCCGGGGCUU
This 384-nucleotide ribosomal RNA is filed under the name uncultured Anaerolineaceae bacterium. Its description in RNAcentral is "bacterial SSU rRNA". It matches the Rfam family "Bacterial small subunit ribosomal RNA", at positions 986 to 1382 of the family's 1533-position model. Lineage: Bacteria; Bacillati; Chloroflexota; Anaerolineae; Anaerolineales; Anaerolineaceae. The record is from RNAcentral.